CGUCAAGUUUGAUACCUUCACUCCUGCAGCAGAACGAGGUCUUCCAGUCACAAGAGUUAUUAGCCGAAUGACUUUGCAACAAAUCCUAGCUCGUGCUGUUGGAGAAGACGUGAUUCUCAAUGAAAGUAAUGUUGUUAAUUUUGAGGAUCACGGGAAUAAGGUAAUAUAAUCCGCUGAUUGGUCAAAAAUUGUCCUUUUCUAAAAUCACCUUUCCACAGAGAAUGCAUGAUAUACAAAGUUUCUUCAUGCAAUUUUAUUUCUGACUAAAAUUCAUCUGACUGACCAGUUUUGUUGCGUGAUAGUGUUUUUUCAACUUCAGUAGUGACAUUUACUUCUGUGCUUUUGCAAUUUGCAAGUUCAGGUCACUGUGAUGCUUGAGAAUGGACAGCGUUACGAGGGUGAUCUCCUAGUUGGUGCUGAUGGAAUAUGGUCAAAUGUAUAUCUCAAUUUCUUUCAUUUAUCAUUUUGCCUGUUGAAUGAUAUCAAUAAGUGCUUGUGAAUUUUUUCUUGCUGGUGCAUGGUCUAUCAUAUCUCAAAUAUAUGGAUUAUAGCAUGAUCUUGAAGAUCUUUUGAUGCAAACUCCGACGGAGUUUGCCUUGAAACCCACAAUCAAUUUAGUGUAUUCUUAACAUUGCUCCAAAAUAAGUUCAAACACCAAAGACUUACUUGGCCCAACACUAACUUGUGAUGGAAAACCAAGCAACUAAACUUGACUCAAUAUCAACAAGUGAUAAAAAACCAAGAAUAAAUCAAUAGAAAAUCAGGAUUUAUAACCCAAUACCAACAUUGUGGUAGGAAACUAUGAAUAUCAAAUUAAAACUUAACAAGUGGAUUAGUCUUACUAAGAGUGUAAAUGUAUUUCAUACAAGAACCAAGAAGAGAAUCCUCUCUCAAAACCACAAUGAGUAAAUAAUAAUAAUCUCUGAAAUCUAAAUCUCAAAAUCUACCUAAAAGAGGAAGAAAAUACAUGUUUAUAAUGGAGGCUGCCUAAAACCCUAAUAAAAUGUAAAGAAAUUACAAAAUGACUAAAGAAAUUAGUCUUCCAGCAAAUUUCACGCCCUUUGGUACACCUAUUGGAGAAUUCUCACACCUUACCAUGUGAUUUGCUAUCCAAAUAAGUUCCCAAACAUGUCUCAUGGCCUCUUGUGCGCCUAUUAGCUCAUCCCAUGGCUUCUGGUGAGCAUUCCAUGGCCAAUGGUGCGCCUAGCAUCAUCUCAUAGCCAGAUGUGCCCCCAAGGUGAUUCUCACACCUUCCAAUGCGCCUUAUAGAGCUCUCUUGGACUUCUCAUAGCUGGCCAUAUGCCCUAGCUGAAUCUAUUGGCUAAUGGUGCAUCUCAUAGUCUCCUUUGGUGUCUCAAAUUUGUCUCAUGGCUACUGUUGCACCUAGGGAGAAUCCUAUGGCUGGUGGUGCAUCCAAAUGAAAUUCUUUAGUGUGUCUCAUAGCUGGUUGAGGGAUAUUCUAUCCCUUUUUGCAAAUGGAAUUAUUUUUGGGACUUUAUUAGCUCUUGUGAAUGGAAAGGCUAGCAUUGAACUCUACCAACUCCACCCAUGCACACUUGCACUAAAAUGAGCCAUUUAAUCUCCUUUGGCAUGCCAAGUUUGAGGAUCUUUACUUGAAUUACUCCUUGGAGAAUUUCAUUGAAACUUGGUGCUGUCAUGAUCACAUCAUCUUUAUAAUGUUUUGACUUGUGCAUAGGUGAGGAAGAAUUUAUUUGGGCAUAAGGAAGCCACAUACUCUGGCUACACUUGUUAUACUGGCAUUGCAGAUUUCGUGCCUGUUGAUAUUGAGACUGUGGGGUAUCGAGUAUUUUUGGGUCAUAAACAAUACUUUGUUUCUUCAGAUGUGGGUGCUGGAAAGAUGCAGUGGUACGCAUUUCACAAGGAACCACCUGGUGGCAUGGACAGACCUAAUGGUAAAAAGGAAAGGCUGCUACAAAUAUUUGAGGGUUGGUGUGACAAUGUAACAGAUUUGAUACUUGCCACAGAAGAAGAUGCCAUUCUUCGACGUGACAUAUAUGAUAGAGCACCCAUAUUUACAUGGGGAAGGGGUCGUGUGACCUUGCUUGGAGAUUCAGUCCAUGCCAUGCAGCCAAAUAUGGGUCAGGGGGGGUGCAUGGCAAUUGAGGAUAGUUAUCAACUUGCAUUGGAGCUUGAUAAAGCAUGGAAACAAAGCAUUGAAUCAGGAACACCCAUUGAUGUUGUUUCAUCCCUAAAGAGCUAUGAGAUUGCUAGAAGACUUCGAGUUUCCAUCAUCCAUGGAAUGGCAAGAAUGGCAGCAAUUAUGGCUUCAACUUACAAGGCGUAUUUGGGAGUUGGCCUUGGUCCAUUGUCGUUCUUGACAAAGUUUCGGAUACCACAUCCAGGAAGAGUUGGUGGGAGAUUUUUUAUUGACAUAGCAAUGCCUUUAAUGCUCAGUUGGGUCUUAGGUGGUAAUAGCUCAAAACUUGAAGGGAGGUCUCAAUGUUGCAGACUUUCAGACAAAGCUAGCGACCAGUUACGGACAUGGUUUGAAAACGAUGACGCACUGGAGCGUGCUCUUAAUGGAGAGUGGUUUCUUUUACCGUGUGGGAAUGAUGACGUUGUUUCAGAACCUAUCUGUUUAAGUAGGGAUGAGAACGCACCCUGCAUGGUUGGUAAUGUGUCGCUUGAAGAUUUUCCUGGAAGGUCUAUAGUGUUACCCUUGUCACAGGUCUCCAAUAUGCAUGCUCAUAUUAGCUAUAAAGAUGGUGCUUUUUACCUAAUUGAUUUGGGGAGCAAACAUGGCACCUUUAUCACACAUAAUGAAGGGAGACGACAUAGGGUGCCUCCAAACUUUCCUACUCGAUUUCACCCAUCAGAUGUGAUUGAGUUUGGUUCAGAUGAGAAGGCAAAAUUUCGGGUUAAGGUGAUGAGAUCUCCUCCGAAGAUUAAAGAGAUGGGAGAAAGUGAAUUACUUCAAUCAGUAUGAUCUGAAGUUCAACUUUUUCCAGGUCACCAAGGAAGUUGUACAGCAUUUAUUUGGGGCAGUGGAGCAAAGUAAAUCUGCUGCAUUUUGUUGAAGCUAAAAUUUACCGAGUACAGAACAUUACACUCUACUUGCAAAACUAGUCCAAUUGUCUGUGAAACCUGGAAACAUGUAUUGUAACCUCCACAUUCACAAAAUCAUCAAUACAAGCCGCUGUUGGUAUAUGGGUUAAGGUUUUGCUCUAAACUAAGUAAAUGAAGGAAAAGAAUGAAUUCAAACUUUGUCAGCACAGAAAUUGCUUUAGGUCCUGCACAUGGAAGCAUGUAUUACCAUGGAAUUCCUGAAAGUAGAAACAAAUAGAGACUUCAGAAAUGUGCAGGUCAAGAUUUUUGUCCAAAACUGAAACAUAACCCAGAAAAAGCCUUUCUUCAAGUAGCCAAUAAGUGGCAAAUGUAGCAGCAAUUAUUGAGCUUCUGUCAAAUGUUGGUGCCUUGAGAGAGGGAAGGAUUGAGGGGGGGACCAAGGUUCUGGGGCACAGACGGUAGCUUCAUUGACAAAUUUAACAAUUGCCCCUCCCCAAUAAUUCUACGAGCAAAUAGUCCAAGGCACCCUCAUCUUCAUGUCAAGAUGAGGUCACUAUCCUAAUUUUUUUUUUUUUUUAA
RNAcentral lists this unclassified non-coding RNA (3606 nucleotides) under Hevea brasiliensis (rubber tree). The record is from RNAcentral. Lineage: Eukaryota; Viridiplantae; Streptophyta; Magnoliopsida; Malpighiales; Euphorbiaceae.